GCUGGGGUAGCCAAGUGGUUAAGGCGCAGGCCUGCUAAGCCUGUUCCCUUUUGGGUGCGUGGGUUCGAAUCCCACCCCCAGCG
This 83-nucleotide transfer RNA is filed under the name Candidatus Aenigmatarchaeota archaeon. RNAcentral describes it as "tRNA-Ser". It matches the Rfam family "tRNA". From Rfam's summary of the family: Transfer RNA (tRNA) molecules are approximately 80 nucleotides in length. Their secondary structure includes four short double-helical elements and three loops (D, anti-codon, and T loops). Further hydrogen bonds mediate the characteristic L-shaped molecular structure. tRNAs have two regions of fundamental functional importance: the anti-codon, which is responsible for specific mRNA codon recognition, and the 3' end, to which the tRNAs corresponding amino acid is attached (by aminoacyl-tRNA synthetases). tRNAs cope with the degeneracy of the genetic code in two manners: having more than one tRNA (with a specific anti-codon) for a particular amino acid; and 'wobble' base-pairing, i.e. permitting non-standard base-pairing at the 3rd anti-codon position. Lineage: Archaea; Nanobdellati; Candidatus Aenigmatarchaeota. The record is from RNAcentral.